This 755-nucleotide ribosomal RNA is filed under the name uncultured bacterium. RNAcentral's name for it is "bacterial SSU rRNA". It matches the Rfam family "Bacterial small subunit ribosomal RNA", at positions 8 to 796 of the family's 1533-position model. The record is from RNAcentral.
AGAGUUUGAUCAUGGCUCAGGAUAAACGCUGGCGGCGUGCUUCAGGCAUGCAAGUCGAACGGACCUUCGGGUCAGUGGCGGACGGGUGAGUAACACGUAAGCAACCUGCCCAAAAGUGGGGAAUAACCCACCGAAAGGUGAGCUAAUACCGCAUGUGAUGUGUCUUCUCUGGAGGACUCAUGAAAGGCUUCGGUCGCUUUUGGAGGGGCUUGCGUUCGAUUAGCUAGUUGGUGGGGUAACGGCCUACCAAGGCAACGAUCGAUAGCUGGUCUGAGAGGACGGUCAGCCACACGGGGACUGAGAUACGGCCCCGACUCCUACGGGAGGCAGCAGCUAGGAAUCUUGGGAAUGGGCGAAAGCCUGACCCAGCAACGCCGCGUGGGCGAUGAAGGCCUUAGGGUCGUAAAGCCCUUUUGUGGGGGACGAUGAUGACGGUACCCCACGAAUAAGCCACGGCUAACUACGUGCCAGCAGCCGCGGUAAUACGUAGGUGGCGAGCGUUGUCCGGAUUUACUGGGCGUAAAGGGCGCGCAGGCGGUCUGUUUAGUCUAGGGUGAAAGCUCCCGGCUCAACUGGGAGAGGUCCUUGGAUACUGGCAGACUCGAGGGAUGCAGAGGAAAGUGGAAUUCCCGGUGUAGUGGUGAUAUGCGUAGAUAUCGGGAGGAACACCGUGGCGAAGGCGGCUUUCUGGGCAUUACCUGACGCUGAGGCGCGAAAGCGUGGGGAGCGAACCGGAUUAGAUACCCUAGUAGUCC